GAUGAACGCUGGCGGCGUGCCUAAUACAUGCAAGUCGAGCGAACGGACGAGAAGCUUGCUUCACUGAUGUUAGCGGCGGACGGGUGAGUAACACGUGGAUAACCUACCUAUAAGACUGGGAUAACUUCGGGAAACCGGAGCUAAUACCGGAUGAUAUUUUGAACCGCAUGGUUCAAAAGUGAAAGACGGUCUUGCUGUCACUUAUAGAUGGAUCCGCGCUGCAUUAGCUAGUUGGUAAGGUAACGGCUUACCAAGGCAACGAUGCAUAGCCGACCUGAGAGGGUGAUCGGCCACACUGGAACUGAGACACGGUCCAGACUCCUACGGGAGGCAGCAGUAGGGAAUCUUCCGCAAUGGGCGCAAGCCUGACGGAGCAACGCCGCGUGAGUGAUGAAGGUCUUCGGAUCGUAAAACUCUGUUAUUAGGGAAGAACAUAUGUGUAAGUAACUGGGCACAUCUUGACGGUACCUAAUCAGAAAGCCACGGCUAACUACGUG
This 497-nucleotide ribosomal RNA is filed under the name uncultured bacterium. Its description in RNAcentral is "partial 16S ribosomal RNA". It matches the Rfam family "Bacterial small subunit ribosomal RNA", at positions 28 to 507 of the family's 1533-position model. The record is from RNAcentral.